Molecule: long non-coding RNA, 3565 nt
Filed under: Sorghum bicolor (sorghum)
Lineage: Eukaryota; Viridiplantae; Streptophyta; Magnoliopsida; Poales; Poaceae
Description: long non-coding RNA (SBIC_LNC007609)
Source: RNAcentral
CACGUGAUCUGGCCGACGGUGAACGUGAGGCCUUCAGGCACGGCCGCGGAAGCUGGGAUCGUGACCAUCUUGUUCGCCGAAGAAGUUGCACGCACACCCCCUACCUGGCGCACCACUGUCGACGAAAGCUAGUCGGCAGUCUACCUUGGGGUAUACCCACGGUAGUAGUUUAUCGGUAGACGGUGCGCAAACUACGAACUCGAUGGUGACGCAAGACACGGACAAGCUUUUUAUCCAGGUUCGGCCGCCGAGUUGGCGUAAUACCUACGUCCUGCGUCUGGUUGUAUUGGAUUGUGUUGAGAGAAUAUUCGCCCCCUAGGGGGGUCCCUUGCCCCUCCUUAUAUAGUCCGGAGGGCAAGGUUACAGAUCUAGAAACUAAUCCUAGUCGGUUACAAUUGCCAUAGAUAGUUCGAUAUCAAUUCCUAUUCUAACCGACUAGAAUCCUGCUUGAUCUUCACGGCUUGUUCCCUUGCGCGAAACUCCAAGCUGUCGGAUCAAACUUUGAGCUUGUCUCGUAAUGGGCCAAGUCUCCUGGCCCAAGUCUAGCCGUAAGGGUAUAGGGGUUUAUACCCCCACAGCUAGUCCCCGAGCACCAUGUAUUGUGAAGUAACACGCCAUCUUGAGCUUCUUCGACCAAUGAAAUUUUGACAUCUUCAAUCAGCAUGAAAUUCACCCAGACAGUUGCGACGGUAUUUUGACCAAAUCUAAACAUAUUUGAUCAACAUUGACAUCGAAGAAGCCAAUUGUUCGAAGAAUGCAUGGUGCUCUUGAGAAAAAAUAUUUCCUUUCCGGUGAAGUGUGCCCACUUUACUUUUCUGAAAAGUACGGAUCCUUAAAAAAGCAAGCAUAUUCACCGCAAGGUGAAGUGUGCCCACUUAGUCCCCGAGCCUGGUAGUAGGUGACGUAGGCACGUGGUGCCAGGGUCAAAAGAAAAGUCCUCAAAGAAAUUCUGAAACUGAGAUGCAUCGCCAGAUGCAUCGUACCGAUGUAGUCCCCGAGCUUGCUGGAAGGCGAAGUAUGAGCCUUGUAGCAAGGUCUAAAAAAUUGAAUUUACCAGUCCCCGAGCAUAUCAUGCUCGUCUGCAAUUGAAUAGACUAAUCGACCAGUCCCCGAGCAUAUAACGCUCGGUGGUCGGUAUAGUCCCCGAAUUCUCAAAUUGGUGGGCUGGUCGACCAGUCCCCGAGCGUAUAGUGCUCGGUGGUCGGCACAGUCCCCGAGCACGGCGUAGGGACCGGUGGACAAGUCCCCGAGCGUGGUUGGGAACGUAAACGUGCUCGGUGGUCGGCACAGUCUUCGAGCACAGCAUAGAGAGUAGUCGACAAGUCCCCGAGCGUGGUUGGGAACGUAAACGUGCUCGGUGGUCGGAGCAGUCCCCGGGCACAGCGUAGGGAAUAGUCGACGAGUCCCCGAGCGUAGCUUGUCGACUGGGUCAAACUCCUGAAAAAUAAAUAUAGAGAAAAUAGGUAGUACAUGAUGUAUAAAUAAACUCUAGAUAAAAAAUCAGCACUGAGAUAAGUUUUAGAUUUUUUAUUAUAAAAUUAGCACGAGUAGUUAAUUCAUGCUAGAGCUUGUACCAGCUCUGGUCUAGCCAACAAUCAGCAUGAGGUGCGGAACCUAGGCACGCGUAGGAUUGUCAGCCACGUCAGAGAGCUACUGCCGACCACCCGGAACGCAGAGGGCGGAUCUCGUGCACGUGUAGGGAGGAGUCGGAGACAGUACCGGCUCUGGAAAGCUCGUGUAGGAGAAAAAACUAGUUGGCUAAAAAGUUGUUUUGAAGAAUAAUAAUAUUAAAAAUAUUAUGCCAAAAAUAAAUAAGAUAUUAGAAGUGUACUUAUCUUUGGAUGAAAGUCUGGUCGGUGACAACAAAGUUGUGUGGCCCUCGAGCUUUUGGACUUGUUAUCGGGACGGUGGUCGCGGUUCUCGUAGCACCGUUCUUCGCGGCGAUUAUUAUUGCGACUCGUGAUCAGAGCAAGUAGGCCAAACAACUUGGUUGAUAGGCUGAGCAGGUCGGUGUCGUCGAUCUGCCUCCCUUUGUAGCAGAGAAGCGGCGACGCGUUGUCGGCGUGGUCGGAGACGUUGCUGGUGUGGUCGAAACCGUAGCCAGCGUGGUUGGAGCCGCAGCCGACGUCGGUGAAGAAGUGAUCGGCACAGAUCGGAUCUACGCCUCCUCUACGGUCAUGGCGGUGAAGCUGUUGAAGCCGACGAUGAACGUGAAGCCGCCCGCCAUGACCGCGAAGUCGGGGAUGAUGGCCAUCUUGUUCGUCGGGAGAGCUGUACGCACACCCCCUACCUGGCGCGCCACUGUCGACGAAAGCUAGUCGGCAGUCUACCUUGGGGUAUACCCACGGUAGUAGUUUAUCGGUAGACGGUGCGCAAACUACGAACUCGAUGGUGACGCAAGACACGGACAAGCUUUUUAUCCAGGUUCGGCCGCCGAGUUGGCGUAAUACCUACGUCCUGCGUCUGGUUGUAUUGGAUUGUGUUGAGAGAAUAUUCGCCCCCUAGGGGGGUCCCUUGCCCCUCCUUAUAUAGUCCGGAGGGCAAGGUUACAGAUCUAGAAACUAAUCUUAGUCGGUUACAAUUGCCAUAGAUAGUUCGAUAUCAAUUCCUAUUCUAACCGACUAGAAUCCUGCUUGAUCUUCACGGCUUGUUCCCUUGCGCGAAACUCCAAGCUGUCGGAUCAAACUUUGAGCUUGUCUCGUAAUGGGCCAAGUCUCCUGGCCCAAGUCUAGCCGUAAGGGUAUAGGGGUUUAUACCCCCACAAUGUUCCGUCUCUAUAAGAAUGUUCUAGGUUUAGAAAAACAGUGUUCUAAUUUUAGAUUCAUAAAAAUAGUAUUAUAAUAUACAUAAAAAUUAAAAAUUAAAAAUAAAUAAAAUCUAAAACAAAACAUAAUAAAUAAAUAAAAACACGUAACAGAGUAUAAAAGAACGUCAUAUGGAUAUUUUUUAGACGUCCUAAAAAUAUAUUAUAGAACAUCGAUCAUAUAUAUAUACUGAGUGAAUAUCACCAAAUAUACCAUAAAACACCACUAAAAACAUUAUAGAACAUCACAUAUAUUAUAUAAACAUUACAUAUAUAUUCUAUAAAUAUCAUUAAUACACUAUAGAACAUCACAUGUAUACUAUGUGAAUAUCAUAGAAAACACCAUAGAACAGCACCUAUAUCCUAUGAGAACAUCAAACAUCAUAUAACACCACCUGUAUACUAAGAGAACAUCACAUAUAUAUUACGCGAACAUCACAAACAUAUUAUAAAAUAUAUAUAUAACAUGUAAACAUCAUAAAAAAUAUCAUAAAACAUCACAUCUAUGAUAUCGCUGCGGGAGCCAAACUAGCAGCGGCCCUUCUCCGUUGACCUCAAGACCAUGGAGGUGGCGCCUGCGACAGAGGAUACAAGGGAAAGGAUGGCAUAUUGGUGUGAGUUUCCAUGGCCACCAGUUUUGCAAGUUUGCUUGGAUAUAUAGAUGAUGGAUUUACUGAAUUGAUUUAUGUGUUUAUUGAGGAAAAAAUAGGUGUUUAUUCAAUUUUUGCUUAUGUUGGUAAAUAAUACAACCGUAACUUUUUU